UUUGAACGCUGGCGGCAUGGCUAAAACAUGCAAGUCGAACGAGAAAGAGGAGCAAUCCUCGAGUAAAGUGGCGAAAGGGUGAGUAAUACGUUCCUACGUGCCUUGAGGUCAGGGAUAGCCAAGGGAAACCUUGGGUAAUACCUGAUGUGGUCGAGAGAUCAAAGGCUUGCCCGCCUCUUGAGCGGGGAACGUCCUAUCAGCUAGUUGGUGAGGUAACGCUCACCAAGCAAUGGACGGGUAGCGGGUGUGAGAGCAUCGGCCCGCCACAU
RNAcentral lists this ribosomal RNA (269 nucleotides) under uncultured bacterium. RNAcentral's name for it is "partial 16S ribosomal RNA". It matches the Rfam family "Bacterial small subunit ribosomal RNA", at positions 30 to 313 of the family's 1533-position model. The record is from RNAcentral.